UGGGGAAUUUUGGACAAUGGGCGAAAGCCUGAUCCAGCAAUGCCGCGUGUGUGAAGAAGGCCUUCGGGUUGUAAAGCACUUUUGUCCGGAAAGAAAUCCUUGGCUCUAAUACAGUCGGGGGAUGACGGUACCGGAAGAAUAAGCACCGGCUAACUACGUGCCAGCAGCCGCGGUAAUACGUAGGGUGCAAGCGUUAAUCGGAAUUACUGGGCGUAAAGCGUGCGCAGGCGGUUCGCUAAGACCGAUGUGAAAUCCCCGGGCUCAACCUGGGAACUGCAUUGGUGACUGGCAGGCUAGAGUAUGGCAGAGGGGGGUAGAAUUCCACGUGUAGCAGUGAAAUGCGUAGAGAUGUGGAGGAAUACCGAUGGCGAAGGCAGCCCCCUGGGCCAAUACUGACGCUCAUGCACGAAAGCGUGGGGAGCAAAACAGGAUUAGAUACCCUGGUAGUCCACGCCCUAAAACGAUGUCAACUAGUUGUUGGGGAUUC
RNAcentral lists this ribosomal RNA (487 nucleotides) under uncultured bacterium. RNAcentral's name for it is "partial 16S ribosomal RNA". It matches the Rfam family "Bacterial small subunit ribosomal RNA", at positions 355 to 832 of the family's 1533-position model. The record is from RNAcentral.